GUGCGCCUACGGGACGCAGCAGUGAGGAAUAUUGGUCAAUGGGCGAGAGCCUGAACCAGCCAAGUCGCGUGAAGGAUGACGGCCCUACGGGUUGUAAACUUCUUUUGUCAGGGAGCAAUUGGGUCCACGCGUGGGCUUAGCGAGAGUACCUGAAGAAAAAGCAUCGGCUAACUCCGUGCCAGCAGCCGCGGUAAUACGGAGGAUGCGAGCGUUAUCCGGAUUUAUUGGGUUUAAAGGGUGCGUAGGCGGAAUAUCAAGUCAGCGGCAAACAUUCGGGGCUCAACUCCGUCG
RNAcentral lists this ribosomal RNA (291 nucleotides) under uncultured bacterium. Its description in RNAcentral is "partial 16S ribosomal RNA". It matches the Rfam family "Bacterial small subunit ribosomal RNA", at positions 333 to 620 of the family's 1533-position model. The record is from RNAcentral.